This 62-nucleotide small RNA is filed under the name Flavobacterium sp. 102. RNAcentral describes it as "Flavo-1 RNA". It matches the Rfam family "Flavo-1 RNA". Lineage: Bacteria; Pseudomonadati; Bacteroidota; Flavobacteriia; Flavobacteriales; Flavobacteriaceae. The record is from RNAcentral.
AUUUAGCCCCGAUGGAAGUGACAUCCCGAAAUUUCGGGAUAUAACGGACAGCGGGAAAAUGA